This 536-nucleotide long non-coding RNA is filed under the name Chloebia gouldiae (Gouldian finch). Its description in RNAcentral is "Erythrura gouldiae (Gouldian finch) lncRNA (ENSEGOG00005000272.1)". Lineage: Eukaryota; Metazoa; Chordata; Aves; Passeriformes; Passeridae. The record is from RNAcentral.
CAGCGCGUGAGUCAUGCGGGGGUGGGCGUGAGGGACGGGGCGGCAGUCCCUCGGAGGUAACCCCACACUCCGGGGCAGCGGACCCCGGUUCCCGAAAGAACCUCGCAAAACGCGGAGAGUGGGACUGGGUUUGGCAAUUUUUGGUUAUCUUCAUUUCCUUCCAAGCUGCUUGCUUUAUAUUUGAAAGUAAUUUAAUUUCUCCUGCUGCAUAAUUGGACACUUCAAAAAUUAAAAAGCCACCUCAGCCAGCUGAGUCCUUAUUGUUUUUGCUGUAGCAAACUGGUGAAAAUAUUUCAUGAAGGUUGAAGCAUUGAAUUUGACUGGGGUCUAGGUUUGAUCUGAAGACUGAAGAUUGAAUUUAAGGAGAAGUUGGGAAGAUCCCGAAUGACUUUGGAAGCAGAAGAGUUACCACGUGGAGUGAAAAUGGAGGUGCAGUGACAGUGCACAAGAAAGGAAAAUGACAGAUGUGAUAUUUUGACUAUUUUGAGAUGACAUAAAUAUAUUGGAGAAGAUUGCCUUGUGGUUGACUCCUUUCC